Nilaparvata lugens (brown planthopper) is the source of this 69-nucleotide small nucleolar RNA. RefSeq annotates it as small nucleolar RNA SNORD61. The transcript has a single exon. The record is from RefSeq and is a predicted model, not a curated record. NCBI's taxonomy places the organism in Eukaryota, Metazoa, Arthropoda, Insecta, Hemiptera, Delphacidae.
UCCAUGAUGAAAUAAUUUCAAUGAUGUAUUGUGAUUCAUUUAUUUUGUCCUCUAAGAAGAACUGAGAAG